Long non-coding RNA from Passer domesticus (house sparrow), 1954 nucleotides. RefSeq lists it as uncharacterized. Lineage: Eukaryota; Metazoa; Chordata; Aves; Passeriformes; Passeridae. The transcript is spliced from 3 exons. The record is from RefSeq and is a predicted model, not a curated record.
GGAUGAGGGAACAGCUGCCGGACAGUGCUGGACAGCUGUGUGCUUUCACGCUGGGGUGAGGGCAGGUGAUAAACAUCUGAUGUGCCCAGUGUGAGUUCAAGCAACAGUGCCUUGGGUCAGCAAGUAGUUGCUGGAAUUGAAGAGCCUCCCAUGCCACACUGGGGACAUGGCACUGUCUCGGGGACACUGUGGCCUAUCACACACUGAUAGGAAUUUCCUGGCCCAAGUGGGGACUGCAGCUGUGUGGGAUGCAUGGCAAAGCUGCUGAGGCCUUACUGGAAUAGGAUUGUGGAGGCAUCUGCUUGGGCUGAAGCUAACAAAAGUGAUGUAAAGCCAUGCAUUCAUGCUUGUCUGUCAAACACCUUCAGGUUUCUGUGCUGGUUGGAACUUUGCUUCUGAGGCGAUGCUGGUCCAUCAGUCUCCAUCAUGAUAUGCACACUAUACUCAGAAGAGAGGGAUUGCUCUCCUGUUUCAUCACAAUCAGAUUCUGGAACAACUUUGUCUUGGAUAUGGAAGGUGGUGAGCAAGUCUCUCACUAAAUUAGUUUUAGCAAGAAGGAGAUCAGAUGCUUCCAAGAAGCAUCUUCUAAAACCUGAUUUGCUAUUAACUGUUGAUGAGGCUUCAGCAGCUUCAAACUGUCUGAGCUGUUCUGCUGUUCUGCAUUGGAAUAACUCUCAUGUGGCUCCUGGUAAGCCCUCAGACACCUGGGCAGACAAGCAUGUGACAAUGUUGCAUGAUCUACAGAUACCCAAAUCAGAGGCUCCAUGAUGGACUCUGCAAAUUAUUUUGAGACAUGAUGUCCUUUUGUCUCUUGAGAACCUUGCAGGUAUGCUGACAAUGUCAUACAUCUGCCAUGAGCUUAAUUGUGACAAGAUUACUGAAAAUACCCCAAGUAAAUUGCACAAACUUGGGCACCCCUCACCUACAAGCUCAUCUAUUUCAUCUUGCAUUUAGUUCUUUUACCCUUGAAAGACUGGUUGUAACAGAGUCUGGCAGCAAUCACCUUUGACCACAGAAAUGUCUUCCCAUCUUGUACUGCAGCUGCCUCUGAAGCAUUUGAGGGGUGCACAGAGACACCUUUAUGUGCAAGGCUUUCUGUUGGAAGAGAUUACGCUGCAGAAGAAGAUGGUGCAGCUCCUAUUGCCUUGUGUUGUAUCAUGGGGAUGUAUUCUUACCUGCAACCAUGUUACUCUGGGCAGGCUUAAAUCUUGUCUUUGCUUAAUCCAAUCACAUUCAGCUUUGGAAGAAAAUUCUCCUGAGAUACCAGGACUAACUCAGGAAUAUUUCUGAUGGACAAGAUUCUUUGAGUUCCUUUUGCAAGCUCAAAAGACUUCAAUUCCAACAAAUACUAAGUCAGGCAAAAAUGCCAAGAAGUCCGUGCAGAUGAAUAAAGAAAUCUUAGCCAAAUUAAAACACUAAAAAGAAGCAUACAGAGGGUAGAUGUGGGAUUGGAUAACUGGGACAAAUACACAAACAUUGUCAAAGUAUCCACGACUGAAGUUAGAAAAGCCAAAGCCCAAGUGAAACUGAAUCUGGUUGAGAAUUCAAAAACAACAGGAUGGAUUUUUGCAAGUAUGUAGGUAAUAGAAGGAAGCGCGUGUAAUGUGGUCAACAUUGGUCAACAUUGGUAAAUCUGUCUGCAAAAGACAUAUGUCUUGGGGAUGGUUUUUUAUCCCAUACCCAUUUUUGGUUUUGUUUCGUGUCCAGGGUGGUUGUUGCCCCGCCCAUCCUCCCUGACCCUGGCUCUGGGAGUGUUGCAAUGGGUGGGAGCCAGCCUGGGAUUUUCUGUGAGAGGUGUGGGGGGUGAGGGGUGGUUGCUUCCUUCUGGUGAGGUGAGUCCUCUCCAUGGCCACACGGCCCAAUCUCUCUGAUGAGAGAGACUUGUUGCCAUGUGGGUUUUUUCUGCUUUUUUGUUCUUUUCCUUUGGCACUGUGACUAGAACUUACUAGCUUGC